CCCUCUCCCCCGUGCUUGCCUGCCCCAACCUGGGCCUCCCUGUGAGCCUGACUUAACAGGGGAAUGGUGAGCAGUUCCUUGUGACAUGGUAAUCCAGACCUGCUGACUGACACGCCCCCCAACAGAGGCAACAUCUGGGUCCUCAGGACUCGGGCACCAGGUGGCCCCAAGGAGGAGCUGCUGACCUGGGGGGAACCCGCCUGCAGAGACUGGGGUGGAGGACACAGGCCCUUCCUCUGCCAGGGACUCCAGGUCAUCCAGAGCAGCAUGUCAGAGGAGGCGGGCACGUUCCGCAUGGUCUCUGAAGAGGAACAGGCGCUCCGAACCCAGCUGGACCGGCUUACCACCAAGGACCACGGGCCUGUCUUUGGCCCAUGCAGCCAGCUGCCCCCCCACACCUUGCAGAAGGUGAGGUGGCCCUGGGUGCUGGGAGGGGCACUCUGGGGAGGCAACAAGUUUGGAAUGUGACCGGUGCUACCGUAGAAGUCAGGGCCCUGGCAGCAACAGG
Talpa occidentalis (Iberian mole) is the source of this 508-nucleotide long non-coding RNA. RefSeq lists it as uncharacterized. Lineage: Eukaryota; Metazoa; Chordata; Mammalia; Eulipotyphla; Talpidae. The record is from RefSeq and is a predicted model, not a curated record. The transcript has 3 exons.